CACGCCACUGCACUCCAGCCUGGGCAACAGAGCAAGACUUCAUCUAAAAAAAAAAUUAUUACUGAUUUAAUGUCUACAAUGUGGUAAGCAGUGUUCAUGGUUUUGUUGGUGUUACUGAAAUCUUACAAACACCCUAUGAGUUAGUUACUAUUAUUAUUAUCAUCCCCAUUUUACAGAUAUAAAAACAGGGCUCAGAGAAGUUAAGAGAUAUCCUCAAGGUCAUCCAGUUAAUGGGGCACAGGUGGGAUGUACAGUAGAUCUUUCUAAUGCCAUGGGGCCUGUGUUCUUCUAGGUCAAGGUUAAUAUUACCAUUUCUAACGAUUAUGACAAGUUUACUCUGUGCCAGCCACCAUUUUAAGCACAUCAUAUACUUCUCCUUCAAUCAUUACAACUAUUAUUAUUCCCAUUUUACAAGUGAGGAAACAGGCUCAAAUUAAAUACCUUUCUCAAGGGCACAGCUAGUAUAUUGUGGAACCAGGAUUUGAACUCAAGAAGUCUGGUUCCAACUGCAUGCUCUUAACCAUCCAGAAAGCUUCCAGUCCAUGGAGGAUGGGGAGUGGGAGAUGCUGUGGUGAUCAUCUGGGGAUAAAAGAACUACUCCAGUUGCUGCAGGAAUAUGUGAGGUGGAGGGGAUCUCUGGCUUGGCUGCUGUCAUGGAGUCUGUUUGCUUUUUCUUUUCCUGUUUUUCCAGCUCACACCUGCUGCCCCAGGGCCUGGCCAUGAUGCUUGUAGCACAUAAGGCAGGCGCAUGUGGAGACACCAUGCCCCUGAACAGGCUCCGGCUUCCAGCUGCAUGUGGAUUACAUUCUUUUACGCACACAUCAUCACAGACUGGAGCCUGCUUCUGCAGCCUGUCCCCAGACUUCAGUGUCCUGAAUAAAGUUUCUCUAGGAAGCAGUGGCCCACAGAGAGCUGAGUUGGUUUCAAGAGUCCAGGAGACGUACCUGGCUGCUUUCUGAGUGAGCUCCAGCGGGAAAUCAGGACACAGUAAUUGCAGCAAACAGUGAUAUUCUUUCAUGGUCAGCAAAUCUGAAGUGGAAAUGGAGAGGAACACAUUAGGUCUCUGCAUUUCAAGUCACUGCCCUCUUUUUGUUCAUUUCAUGAGUUUCAGACCUGGUCUUGGUAGAGCUGUUCUUUUAAAAGCAAGUCAGUGUGAAGGGUAUGCUAGUCUCUAACCUCCAGGUGUGAGAUUUUAAGAUCAGUAUUUCUACAAAGCUUUUCCAGGGUGGGAGGCAUCCAGUUACACCAUUUUGACCAAAGGAGCUUCACUGGUAUGAAAAUUGGUCGGGUGAAGAGAGCAAACAAGAGAGGCACCUUCAUCAGUCUUCUUUAGUUUGGUUUUCCUUGUAUAUAAAAAUCUGGAAGAACAAGUCAUUUCAAAGCCGGUUAAAUUUGCUGAAAUUCUCUGGCAUGGUAACGUUUCCCACCACAUGCCCAAAGACCAUCCACAGAAUAUCUGGAAGCAGUACUAACGCAAACAGUCUUGCUGUGUAGGGAGAAGAGUACAGCAUAGAAACCCACAGACCUCAUUACUCUGUCAUCCAGUACUGCAGCAGGCUGGCUUCUUUUGAAUGGCUGAACACAAAUCUGGUCAUCCUAUUAUAGGAAGCCAAGACAAAGGUCCAAGAUAUACAGUCAAGGCAACCAAAUGAUUCCUGAUAUACAGAAGCAAUGCUUUGUGCUUUGGGAGAGGUGAGCCAGGAUGAGGCUCUGUGGUCCAGCAGAGAACCCAGAGAGGUGAAUCUCAGAGAAAUUUAUAGGAUCCUGAGGGAGAAGAAAUACACUGAUGCUUAAGUUAUUUUGUUGCUGCAUGUACUGAAGGCAAAAGAUUUUAGAUCAGCCAAGGAGUAAGAAUGUGUAAGUAUUAUCAUAUAUCAAAGCAUUUCGAAUAUGGAAGGGCCUGGUAAUGCUAAAGUGAGAGCAAUCCACCCGGAAGCCUGCCUAAUUGGGAGGAGGAUGAGUGAGAGGAGGGAAUCCAGAGGGCAUGGCUACAUUUGGGGAAUGAAGAUGAUGAUCACAGGCACUUGGUUUCUUUGGACCUAAGUUAGCCCAAGCCACAGGAAUCCAGAUCUCCUGCCCCCGUUAGUUUGGUUGAUGCUUUUCCAAGACAAAAACCCCAAAUCUCCAGGGAAAGGCCUGGGUUCCUAGUACUUUUUCAUCAAAGCUUAAUUCAAGGUGGGGACAGAGAGUUUGACUAACCACACUGCCAAAGUCAGAAACACCAAAGGAACAGACUCAGCGUCAAUAUAGGUCAAAGGAUCAAGAUGGUUUUGUGGCACUCUCCUCUUCCCACUUGCCUGACCUCGGGCACAGCCUGGCAGGAGGUCUUGUUCUUCAAGGGAGGGAGUCAUUGCCACUCGUGGUCUCAGGCUUGGGGUGAGGAAAAAGGCGAAGGGAAGGGAGAAAAUCCACUGAGUCUAAUGUGUUCCCACUUUAUUCUCACUCCAGAACUCCCCAUGUAGAGAAAAGAGAAGAGUGAUUUCUGGCAGGGCAGGGAGUAAAUAAAGGAAAGUUCUAUCUUUGAA
RNAcentral lists this long non-coding RNA (2525 nucleotides) under Homo sapiens (human). Its description in RNAcentral is "HSALNT0362708". Lineage: Eukaryota; Metazoa; Chordata; Mammalia; Primates; Hominidae. The record is from RNAcentral.